Molecule: ribosomal RNA, 172 nt
Filed under: uncultured bacterium
Lineage: Bacteria
Description: partial 16S ribosomal RNA
Rfam family: Bacterial small subunit ribosomal RNA
Source: RNAcentral
AGUCUGCAAACUCGACUCCAUGAAGUCGGAAUCGCUAGUAAUUCGAGAUCAGCAUGCUCGGGUGAAUGCGUUCCCGGGCCUUGUACACACCGCCCGUCACACCACGAAGUCGGUUUUACCCGAAGCCGGUGAGCUAACUCGCAAGAGAAGCAGCCGUCUACGGUAGGGCCGA